UACGAAGGGGGCUAGCGUUGCUCGGAAUCACUGGGCGUAAAGGGUGCGUAGGCGGGUCUUUUAAGUCAGGGGUGAAAUCCUGGAGCUCAACUCCAGAACUGCCUUUGAUACUGAAGAUCUUGAGUUCGGGAGAGGUGAGUGGAACUGCGAGUGUAGAGGUGAAAUUCGUAGAUAUUCGCAAGAACACCAGUGGCGAAGGGCGGCUCACUGGCCCGAUACUGACGCUGAGGCACGAAAGCGUGGGGGAGCAAACAGG
RNAcentral lists this ribosomal RNA (256 nucleotides) under uncultured bacterium. RNAcentral's name for it is "partial 16S ribosomal RNA". It matches the Rfam family "Bacterial small subunit ribosomal RNA", at positions 524 to 776 of the family's 1533-position model. The record is from RNAcentral.